CCUCCUUCCACUUUCUUUUGUUUUGUGCCGCAAGCACGGAUAGAUUUUACCCCUUUCGUGAAUCGCGAUGCGGGGCUGAUUGUAUCCAGCGUUUCUGUUCCGGACUCCCAUCUACGCGACAGAUACCGUGAAAUCUUAUUCUCGACCAGAGAAAACCUUGGUAGUGCGUGGUUGCGUGCCACCGAAGAUUGGAUAAUUUUCCUCCUAGUAAUGACCAUUGAGAUCUGUUUAGGGUUCAUGCUCAUGUAAGAUUUGGUUUAGGUUGUAAGGUGUUCUGGACAACUGUCCAGAGUCUGUUGAACAAUUGCGAAGUUUUCACCACUAAUUCCUACAUAGUGAGAAGAUAGACGACGGAAGCUAAGGCCCCAAUCUGAUAGCUGUAUUAGCUAUUCUGUAGUUAAAUCGAGAAGAUAUGGUACACAUAUACUCCAUCUGUUCACAAAUACUCCCUCCGUUCCAAAAAUAAGUGUCGUGGUUUUAGUUGUUUUUGGAACAGAGGUAGUAUAAUAAGAUGUUCUAAAAAAAAUCUGAAUCGGAUGUAUAUGGAAUUAUAGACAUGUUCUGGUGUGUUUGUUCAGUCAUUUCAGUCUGUGUAAUCCAUAUUGAAAUAUCCAAAACAUCUUAUAUCUGUGAACAAAUGGAGUAAUAUAGUAGACAUACAAGAAUAUGAAAUCUGUCUUCCUGCUCUUCUUUCCUGCUGAUGACUUGUGGCGGCAAUUUUAUUUUCUUAUGUUGCCUUGUGACCUCCUUCCAUGAGGAGGCCACGGAUUCAAUUCUUGGAAACAACCUCUUGCAGAAAUGUAGGGAAAGAUUGUGUACAAUAGACUCAAAGUGGUCGGACCCUUCCCCGGACCCUGUGCAAGCGGAACUACGUGCACCGGAUUGCUAUACCAUUUUGUGCUUCUAAUGUUUAUCUGCACCAUUCGAGCUAAAACAAUGGGCAGGCGCAACAGCUGCACCAUUUAUGUCGGCAAUCUCCCUGGGGACAUUCGUGAGAGGGAGGUUGAGGAUCUCUUUUACAAGUAUGGCCGUAUUGUCGAUAUUGACUUGAAGAUUCCUCCAAGGCCUCCUGGUUAUGCUUUUGUCGAGUUUGAGGAUCCUCGUGAUGCUGAUGACGCAAUUUAUGGCCGUGAUGGUUAUGACUUUGAUGGCUACAGGCUGCGGGUGGAAUUAGCUCAUGGUGGAAAAGCUCAAUCUUACUCGUACGAUCGCCCAAGCAGCUUUAGCAGUGGACGCCGUGGAGGUGUUUCUAGGCGCUCUGAGUACCGAGUUAUGGUUGAUGGUUUACCUUCGUCAGCGUCAUGGCAAGAUCUCAAGGACCAUAUGCGACGGGCUGGCGAUGUCUGCUUUUCUGAUGUAUACCGCGAGGCUGGAGCAACUGUUGGAAUUGUGGAUUAUACAAACUACGAUGACAUGAAAUAUGCGAUUAGGAAGCUCGAUGGUACAGAGUUCAGAAAUGCAUUUUCAAGGGCAUAUAUCAGGGUGAGGGAGUAUGAUGCUAGAUCAAGAAGCAGGAGCCGUAGCCUCUCUUACUCGAGAAGUCGCAGCUAUAGCAGAUCUGUCUCUCGGUCACCCUUACCUGUGGAUGAAAGAUCUGGCCAUGCGGCGAUCUGGGGACUGCUUCCAUAGAAAAUUGGAUGCGUUGAGAUUUCAACAGGAUGGUUUGGAACUAUGGAUAGUAGAGCUGGAUUAUCAGCACGUAUGGCGAGUGAGCAAGAAGUCCUAGGAGCAAGAUAGUCCUGAUAAUCACUGUCAAGAUCUCGAUCCCCUGUUUCUUCGGUGUCUGGAAAAUCCGUGAGCAGAAGCCCCAGGAGCAGGAGUGUAUCCCGUUC
RNA transcript from Hordeum vulgare subsp. vulgare (domesticated barley), 1832 nucleotides. It is a transcript of the gene named serine/arginine-rich-splicing factor SR34-like, with no coding region annotated. Lineage: Eukaryota; Viridiplantae; Streptophyta; Magnoliopsida; Poales; Poaceae. The record is from RefSeq and is a predicted model, not a curated record. The transcript has 14 exons.